Unclassified non-coding RNA from Pongo abelii (Sumatran orangutan), 148 nucleotides. It matches the Rfam family "Metazoan signal recognition particle RNA". From Rfam's summary of the family: The signal recognition particle (SRP) is a universally conserved ribonucleoprotein. The record is from Ensembl. Lineage: Eukaryota; Metazoa; Chordata; Mammalia; Primates; Hominidae.
GCUGGGUGUGGUGGUGCACGCCUGUAAUCCCAGCUACUUGGGAGGAUGAGGCAGGAGAAUCACUUGAACCCAGGAGGCAGAGGUUGCAGUGAGCCAAGAUUGUGCCACUGCACUCCAGCCUGGGUGACAGAGUGAGACCCUGUCUCAA